RNAcentral lists this long non-coding RNA (994 nucleotides) under Gallus gallus (chicken). Lineage: Eukaryota; Metazoa; Chordata; Aves; Galliformes; Phasianidae. The record is from RNAcentral.
CUCUGAAGACCAGAAACUUGUCCCUGUGCUCAGGACCAGGCUACCAUGGAGCUCAUUAUGUCAAAGAGUAGGUAAAGACUUGUAGUGAAGUAGUUAGGAGUUAUCAAAAAUGAAGCAUUGAAGUUUUAAUAGCUUCAGUCCAGUUGCAACUAGAGCAUUUUGUCACAAGUGAUACACAUUUAUUUUAUAGCCAUAUAAACAUACCAGACAGACCAGUUACUACUUUGAAAGCUCCGUGCGCAGGUGACCUUGCUGUGCUCCCUAGAUUUCCCCUAGAUAUCUCCAAGGGCUAUUUGGAAACAUGGUACCAGUCCAUCUCUAACCAAGAGCGGAGGUCAGAGCCCUGCAUGCCAGAAGCUGGCCACGCUUGCACUGCCUGGAAGGACCAGUUUGUCCCCAGCUUCCCAGCAAAGCCCUCUGGUUCAAGUCUUGGUAGAUUAGGUAAACUGCAGAAAACACAACCAAAUGACACCUGCUUGCUCACCUCUAAAGUAUGCAACAGCAGUGAAACCAGAAUGUUCACCACACUGAUAGCAGUUUUUAAGAGUGCCUUGACUGUCCCCUUACAAACUGCUCCUCAGCAUCAGUGAAGGAAAGUGAAGCAGCAAAUGCUAACAAUCCUUGCUUCUAAUUGUUCUCAGAGACCACCUGGGAAAACACCUUGACCAUCUCAUUAAAUAUGUAAAUAAGAGGAAAUGUACAUUCACCACACAGCUGAGAUGACAAUACAAGUCCUUGGAGUUACCUUUUUCUUGCUUCGGCUGCUUUCUUCCUGGCAGAGCUGGCAGAUCUGAGCAUUUCCAGGUCCUGAUGGCUGUUCCUGCUCCUCCUGGGUGCUACUCUGUAACUUGUGUGGCAGGACACUGUUUUCCUCUCUUGGGGCCUGUUUCAGUUUGGCGUUUUCGUCUUGGAUUCUGAGCUUCCCGUCCGGUUUUAACCAAUUCUUCGGGCCUUUCUUGUUUCCUUGGCUGCUUUGGUGACUGUGUGACCAUCU